Dicentrarchus labrax (European seabass) is the source of this 1203-nucleotide long non-coding RNA. RefSeq lists it as uncharacterized. NCBI's taxonomy places the organism in Eukaryota, Metazoa, Chordata, Actinopteri, Moronidae. The transcript is spliced from 4 exons. The record is from RefSeq and is a predicted model, not a curated record.
CUCCUCAGCCUGAAUACACUAUGUUCAUUUAUGUCUUGAGAAUCAGUUUUGUUCGAGUACUCAAGUGUAUUGUUGAACUGAAAAAACAUUUUGAACAUUUUGUUUGUUUGCUUUGUCUGUUAAACCUUUUCUGUUUUUUUUUCUGUACAGCAAGAAAAUGUCCAUGGAGUUCAUAGAAGGAAGUAGAGGCAACUACAGAUCCAUCAGGGUGUUGUUUGACACGCCCAUCUCUGCAGAUCUGCUGGCACAUGGGUUCCUAUAGGUCUCAGAUCGCACUGGAGUCUGAACUUUUGAGGCUUCAGCAGCAGAACCAGCUCCCGUCUGAGGUGAAGAUAUGAGUGAUCUGCUGGUGGAGGAGAGUGCAGCUAUGGGGCUUUGAACUGGAGGACUUGAGGAUCCUGAGGCCAGGCUUCUUCUCAAGCUGGUAAGACCACAAUCCGGAAAAGUCUCGACGGUAGUUCGGAGUCAGCUGUUGAUUUAUUCUGUAAAUAUGUCAGGUCUACUCUUCAGAUCUCACUCCUUGUUGCAUGAAGAUGAGGGACGUUGAGUUUGAAGCCAGAAGGCUGCUCAGCUCUCAGCUCUCUACUCAGUCCCUCCUCAAGUUUCGGAAAAGUCUCUGCUGUCAUUUCUCCUCCACCAGCUCCUCUGAACAACAUUGCUGGACCUCCUGCCAACAACCUCCGGGAGAAAACAUAGGAACAGCCAGAACACAGUCCAGAACCAAUCUCUACUGGGGUUGCUGAUGGUGCAGAGGAGCCUGGUCUCGAGGAAGACACUGAAGCAAUCAGAGAAAGAGUCUCUGACCACUAGUGCUGAACCUCCUGCCAUCACUGCUGUCCAGCAGGGUUUAGCAAUCAGCCAGGUUGAAUCAGUGCAGCAGCCAGCACGCAGCCCAGGACCAGACUGUGCUGUGGUGCCAUGUCCUCCACCUCCUCUGAGCCCUCCUGCUUCAGUCUUGGACAGUGAAGAUAAUUGUAAAGAGCCUAGCAGAGGACCAGACUCUGCUGUGGUUUCAUCUCCAACAGCUCCUCUCUCUGCACCUUAUGAAACUCCUGUCAUCAGUGCAGAGCGGGAUGAGCUGACCAUCAGCCAGGAUGAGGCCAAAAUGAAGACCGAGGGUGGACUCCAGGGCUUCUCUGAUUGGUUCAAAAACACACUCUGCUGCUGUUUCCUGUGUAAAGACUAUUCCUCAGCUCAGUUGUU